UGAGUAUUAACCUCGCUGAAUCUGUCACUUUUUUUGCGGGGAACAUCUGUAAGACUGGAGACUGCUCUUUCCCCCUACAGGUAACAAAGGAGCAAGGCUUUCUCUGUGGGAUAGCUGUGAACUGAUGCUGCUGGCAUUUUCCUUGGAGUUUUAAGGGGCGCCGUAGCCUGGAGAUGGAAACGGCAGUGGCGGGUGACCGCGUCGAUCUGAAUUUGGAAGUUGUGUGGCAGAUUCAGCGUCUUCAGGAGGAGCUCAGAGCGUUAUCAUCGUCUUUUCCCCAAAGGCCUUUUCCUGCCUAUUCUUCAGACUGGGAACAUCUUGAGCUUAUCGCUUGACUGUUUAUAGAAGGUAAACUUGAUUUCGCAGAGGACUAAACAGUGGGAGAAGUAAUUAUCCCUUACUUCAGUUUUUAAAUUAACAUAUAGGAAGGUUGACUUAUAGGUAUGUACAGAUCUACAAAUUUUAACAUAUAGAUUCAUGUAAUCACCACUCUAGGCAGGAUAUGGAACAGUUCCUUCAUCCCCCUAAAGCUCCCGAAUGCUAGCCCUGUGUUGUAAUACACCCCCACCCCAAAACCCUGGCUACCACUGAUGUGUUUCUCCAUCGUUAUACUUUUAUUUUUUUGAGAAUGUCAUAUACAUGGAAACAUACAGGAGGUAACUUUGAAACUGGCCUCUUUCGCUCAGCAAAUGCCUUCGAGAUUCAUUACGCUGUUGUGUCUGUCCAAGUUCAUGUAAGCACAUUUUUAAAUUUAAGAAUUGCUCCCUGAUUUUAUUCAGGUUAGUUCUCUAAGCAGGCUUCGUAAUAGUGUAGUAACAGUAUAAUUUUUGCGCAAUUAAAUCGCCUUUGGUCAAAUGACUGACAGUGAUUAACAUGUUUCUCUUACCCAGUUUUUAAUCUGUUUCUUCCGGUGAAAAAAGUAGAGAAGCAAGAAGUAGAUGGUGAUUUCUAAACCAGCAUUACAUCUCUGAAUUCUGAAACCAGAA
This 986-nucleotide long non-coding RNA is filed under the name Ursus maritimus (polar bear). RNAcentral's name for it is "lncRNA (ENSUMAG00000002043.1)". The record is from RNAcentral. Lineage: Eukaryota; Metazoa; Chordata; Mammalia; Carnivora; Ursidae.